Molecule: non-coding RNA, 29 nt
Filed under: Mus musculus (house mouse)
Lineage: Eukaryota; Metazoa; Chordata; Mammalia; Rodentia; Muridae
Source: RNAcentral
UAUGAGGUCCCAAAGAAACAAGUUUUAUG